GACCUCCGCAAUGCGAGCAAUCGCGACGGGGGGACCCCAAGUGCCACUUUAACGGGGUGGCUUUUCUUAAGUGCUUUUGGAUAAGGGCUGGCAAGACCGGUGCCAGCCGCCGCGGUAACACCGGCAGCUCUAGUGGUAGCCAUUUUUAUUGGGCCUAAAGCGUUCGUAGCCGGUUUGAUAAGUCUCUGGUGAAAUCCUAUAGCUUAACUGGGGGACUGCUGGAGAUACUAUUAGACUUGAGGUCGGGAGAGGUUAGCGGUACUCCCAGGGUAGGGGUAAAAUCCACUGAUCCAUUGAAGACCACCAGUGGCGAAGGCGGCUUGCCAGAACGCCUCGACGGUGAGGGAUGAAAGCUGGGGGCACGAACCGGAUUAGAUACCCGGGUAGUCCUAGCCGUAACGAUGCAGACUCGGUGAUGGGCAGUGCCGCAGGGAAGCCGUUAAGUCUGCCGCC
Molecule: ribosomal RNA, 453 nt
Filed under: uncultured archaeon
Lineage: Archaea
Description: bacterial SSU rRNA
Rfam family: Archaeal small subunit ribosomal RNA
Source: RNAcentral